This 609-nucleotide ribosomal RNA is filed under the name Acinetobacter schindleri. Its description in RNAcentral is "bacterial SSU rRNA". It matches the Rfam family "Bacterial small subunit ribosomal RNA", at positions 555 to 1164 of the family's 1533-position model. The record is from RNAcentral. Lineage: Bacteria; Pseudomonadati; Pseudomonadota; Gammaproteobacteria; Moraxellales; Moraxellaceae.
UGGGCGUAAGCGUGCGUAGGCGGCUUUUUAAGUCGGAUGUGAAAUCCCUGAGCUUAACUUAGGAAUUGCAUUCGAUACUGGAAAGCUAGAGUAUGGGAGAGGAUGGUAGAAUUCCAGGUGUAGCGGUGAAAUGCGUAGAGAUCUGGAGGAAUACCGAUGGCGAAGGCAGCCAUCUGGCCUAAUACUGACGCUGAGGUACGAAAGCAUGGGGAGCAAACAGGAUUAGAUACCCUGGUAGUCCAUGCCGUAAACGAUGUCUACUAGCCGUUGGGGCCUUUGAGGCUUUAGUGGCGCAGCUAACGCGAUAAGUAGACCGCCUGGGGAGUACGGUCGCAAGACUAAAACUCAAAUGAAUUGACGGGGGCCCGCACAAGCGGUGGAGCAUGUGGUUUAAUUCGAUGCAACGCGAAGAACCUUACCUGGCCUUGACAUACUAAGAACUUUCCAGAGAUGGAUUGGUGCCUUCGGGAACUUAGAUACAGGUGCUGCAUGGCUGUCGUCAGCUCGUGUCGUGAGAUGUUGGGUUAAGUCCCGCAACGAGCGCAACCCUUUUCCUUAUUUGCCAGCGGGUUAUGCCGGGAACUUUAGGGAUACUGCCAGUGACAAACU